Molecule: transfer RNA, 54 nt
Filed under: Meloidogyne javanica (root-knot nematode)
Lineage: Eukaryota; Metazoa; Nematoda; Chromadorea; Rhabditida; Meloidogynidae
Also listed under: 2 other names
Description: tRNA-Pro
Source: RNAcentral
AUUAAUUUAUUUUAAAAAAAAUUUAUUUUUUGGUUAAAUAAGAUUAAAUUAAUU